AUGGAAAAUCCCAGUUCCCCUAUAGAAAAUCCCAGUUCCCCUAUGGAAAACCCCAGUUCCCCUAUAGAAAAUUCCAGAUUCCUGUGGACGAAGCUCCCGGAUCAGAGCCCAGGUGCGCCGCCCCCUCCCCUCGGAAGAACCCAGCGCCGCCAAACGCCUCCUGCUCCUCCUGCUGGCCGUGGUGGGCACCCAAAUCUACAACGCGCCGGGAGACGACGGCGCCGCCGGUUUGGGGACCAGAACGGACUUGGGGACAACUCUGGGGACAAAUUUGGGGACAAAUUUGACGACGAGGACAAUCCCAGUUCCGGAGGAGCCUCAAAUUCCGGCCUGGAACACCAACGGAACCGCGAGUGGCGCUUGUCCCGCUUUCCUGUGGGUGUCACCCCCUUUGUCACCAGCUGGGGGCGCCAGGACGCGCUGAGGGACGAUCCCAGAAUCCUCCUGGGUUAAUUAACGAGGUCGUUAAUUAACAAGGCCGUUAAUUACGGCGGAAGAGGCAGGAGAAGGCGGCGACGUCGGACGAGCCCAGUUUGGAACUGGGAGGACUGGGAAGAGGAGGAGCCAUUGACUGAGGAGGGUUGUUCCCAUUCCUUAAUUAAUUAGCUCAUUAAUUACCCCCUAAUUAGCUGGUUAAUUAAUGAGCAGCUCGUUAAUUAGCCCCCAGUUUUGGGAACAAACUGGAGGUUGAACGAUCCCAGUUUGGAACUGGGAGGACUGGGAAUGGGCGGAGCCAUGGAUUGAGGGAAGUUGUUCCCAUUCCCUAAUUAAUUAGCUCAUUAAUUACCCCCUAAUUAGCUGGUUAAUUAACGAGCAGCUCAUUAAUUAGCCCCCAAAGUUGACUGGUUAAUGGUGGGACCAGUCCCAGUUGGGAACUGGAAGCACUGGGAAAGGGGGCGUGGUCAGGAUGGGCCUCAUUAACGAGGUUUAAUUAACGAGGUUUGAAUUAUUUAUUAUUUAUUUAUUUAUUAUUUAUUCGUUAUUUAUUGCUAUUUAUGAAUAUUUAAUUAUUUAUUUGCUGUUUGUGAGCAUUUGUUUAUUUAUUUGUUAUAAUUUAUUGAAUAAAUAUUUAUUAAUUAAUUAAUUUAAUUAAUUUUCUCUGGAUGAUUCCUUUCCCAAUUUCCCGUGGUCUGGAAGGUGAACUGGGAGCACUGGUUUGUACUGGGAGCACUGGGAAUCAUCCCAGUUUAUCCCAGUCCCAUCCCAGUAUCCCCAGUAACUCCCAGUAUUAUUUUGGGGUAAAUUAAUAAUUUUGGGGUAAAAUAAAGGAAUAAAAAUCCCAAAUUUUUGGUAUUUUCAACACAAAUAUUUUUAUUUUAUUUUUUUUAUUUACGGAUUUUUAUUGAAAAUACAAAGUCACAAAAGUAACAAAAAACUAAAAAAAAAAAUUUACAUUAUUUCCUAAAAAAAAAAAAAAAGUUAAAAAACGCCAGAAAAUCCAAAAUAAAAUUGAAAAUAAAAUCCAAAAUAAAAUCCAAUCCUUCCUCCCAAACUCACAUUUGCAUUCAGGACCCAAAUUUGGGAAUUUUUUUCCCAAAUUCCGUUUUUUUUUCCUCUAAAUUUUUAUUUUUCCCCAAAUUUUGAGGAUUUUUCCCCAAAUUUUGAGGAUUUUUUCCCCCAAAUUUUGAGGAUUUUUUCCCCAAAUUCUGAUUUUUUCCCCCAAAUUUUGAGAAUUUUUUUCCCCAAAUUUUGAGGAUUUUUCCCAAAUUUGGAGGAUUUUUCCCCCCUUAAUUCCAAGGCUUUUCCCAAAUUUUAAAGAUUUUUUUUCCCACAACUUUUCAGGGCUUUUUUCAUGGAAUUUUAAUUUUUUUUCCCCAAAUUUUCAGAUGAUUUCCCCAAUUUUUGGAUUUUUUCCCCCCAAUUUUUGGGGGAUUUUUGCCCAAAUUUUGGGAAUUUUUUCCCAAAUUUUGGGAGUUUUUUCCCAAAUUUUUGGGCUUUUAUCCCAAAAUUUUGUGGUUUUUCCCAAAUAUUUGCGAUUUUCUCCCGAAAUUUCGGAAUCCACGCGUUGGGAAGAGCCCCCAGUGUUGGGUUUGGCCAAUCCCAGUUGGGCACUGGGAGCACUGGGAGCACUGGGAACUCACCAGAACCACGGAAUGCUGGGAAGUCCUCAUCUCCCCACUUAAUUAAUGAACAAAUUCAUCCCUAAUUAAUUAGAGAUCGUUAAUUAGCCCCCAAAUUUGAAUGGGAACAAAUGGAAACCAAACUCAACGUUGGGUCUUGGGGUUGGCCAAUCCCAGUUGGGCACUGGGAGCACUGGGAACGCCGGGAACUCACCGGAACCACGGAAUGCUGGGAAUUCCUCAUCUCCCCAAUUAAUUAAUGAAUGAAUCCAUCCCUAAUUAAUUAGAGAUCAUUAAUUGGGCAAUAAAUUUGAAUGAGAAAAAUGGAGACCAACCAAACGUUGGGUCUUGGGGUUGACCAAUCCCAGUUGGGCACUGGGAGCACUGGGAGCACUGGGAACUUGCCGAAACCAUGGAAUGCUGGGAAUCCCUCAUCUCCCAACUUCAUUAAUGAAUGAAUCCAUCCCUAAUUAAUUAGAGAUUGUUAAUUAGCCACCAAAUUUGAAUGGGAAGAAAUGGAGACCAAACUCAACAUUGAGUUUUGGGUUGGCCAAUCCCAGAUGGGCACUGGGAACACCGGGAACUCACUGGAACCAUGGAAUGCUGGGAAUCCCUAAUCUCCCAACUUAAUUAAUGAACAA
Catharus ustulatus (Swainson's thrush) is the source of this 2701-nucleotide long non-coding RNA. NCBI's taxonomy places the organism in Eukaryota, Metazoa, Chordata, Aves, Passeriformes, Turdidae. The record is from Ensembl.